This 547-nucleotide non-coding RNA is filed under the name Pongo abelii (Sumatran orangutan). The record is from RNAcentral. Lineage: Eukaryota; Metazoa; Chordata; Mammalia; Primates; Hominidae.
AAGGGAAACGACUUUGGACUCACGUAGGCAUAGGAGAACGAAACUUCUGUACAUUUUAAUCUGAAUAAUUCUUCAGGAUUUAACAUUAAUUGGCUCUGGCUUGGUUGGACCUUACUCGGAUCUCGCCACCUCUGCGUUUCCCGAGUCACUGGCGAAGAGGUCCCGGUUCCUCUGGGAAUCGUCCUGUAUGCAACAUCUUCACAAGGGUGGCAGGCAGUUGAAUCUCUGGACUUCGUGAGACCACUGGACAUUUGGCAGAGAACCAGGAAGCCACGGUUCCCUUCUGUGAGUCCCUCAGCCGGAAAACUACAAGCUCCUGAUGCAGCUGCUGUCUGCAGACCCCCUAGACUGCCUGGGGAAGUGAGUCGGAGCUCCUGCAGCAGAGGGGUGGAACAGCUACACGAAGAUCCGAAGGUGGCCAAAAAUAACAGCGCUUUCCAGAUGAGGGUAAUGUUAUAGCCAAGAUCAUCACUGGGGUAGGGUGUCUUGUUCUUUGUUUUACAACCUAAAAAGUACACAGAAGACUCAAAGAUCAUUCAGGAAGCAG